RNAcentral lists this long non-coding RNA (790 nucleotides) under Chrysemys picta bellii (western painted turtle). RNAcentral's name for it is "lncRNA (ENSCPBG00000020462.1)". The record is from RNAcentral. Lineage: Eukaryota; Metazoa; Chordata; Testudines; Emydidae.
CUACUCAGGCGCCGCCCUGCGCACAUGCGCGUUAGACACUACCCACGACUGGCCCUUUAAGGUGGGCUGUGAGUGGGCGGGGCACUGCGGAGGAUCGCGCCUCCACGCGAUGAUGAGGGCAGCACGUUUGCGUGCCGCCGUGACGCAGUGGUUGCCGCAGAAACGCUCCGCUCCCCCCGCGCGGUGCGGUUCGCAGUGGAGCUGCCGGGAGGCGCCUGUCACCUUCAGCGCGGGCCGGAGCGGGCGGGAGACGCUGCGGCGGCGGGGCCGCCAUGGUGCUAAUCAAGGAGUAUCGUGUCAUUCUGCCUGUGUCUGUGGAGGAGGUAAGUCCUUUUCCUGCCGCUUCCUUUUCAGGACUUUGUUUUGUUUAAACAAAUGUUUAAGCUUAUGAUUGACCAGCCGACAAAAGUCAGGAAAUGCAAGAAAGACAUGCAUCCACCUUCAGGAUUAUCAUGAAACUGUAUGAUCCAAUGAUUAAGAUUGAGGACUGGGAGUCAGAUUUGUGUAUCCAGCUCUUCUGCUGACUCAGUUUGUGAUUUUAGUCAAAUCAUUUAACUUAUCUGUACCUGGGUUUUCCCAUCUUCUCUAAAAUGAGGCUAAUGAUAUUGUCCCUCCUCCUGUAAAGUGCUUUCAGAUCCAUGAAUUACAACUCCUAGAGAAGUUAAUGAUAAACUUGGAUUUGCCAGAUUGUUCCAAAGCACAACUUCCUUCUUUGUUUAAUAUAAUCAUUUUUCUUUUAAGGUGAGGAAACUUUAAUAAAUCUCUGAGGUUCCUUUUAAUCUGGGUUUGU